This 14882-nucleotide long non-coding RNA is filed under the name Eucalyptus grandis. RNAcentral describes it as "long non-coding RNA (EGRA_LNC003157)". The record is from RNAcentral. Lineage: Eukaryota; Viridiplantae; Streptophyta; Magnoliopsida; Myrtales; Myrtaceae.
AGAAGAUAAUUCAAUAGACACCGAGGAAGAAGAUACUCCAAUUGAAACAGAUGAAGAGGAAAGCUCAUAACAAAGAAGAUGAGACGGUCUUAACUACGGUGAGACUAUGGGUUCCAAUGUCUUCGCUUUUCCCUUUUCUGGGCCUCCACUAGAGAUUUGCAAGUGUCUGUUCCUUCAAUUAGAAUUCAAGAUCAUUGUAACAGAGAGGUUUCGCACCAUGCUACCGACAUGAUUGAGGAACACUUUUUUUUUUUUUAGUUUUUGCCUCUAUUUCUUUAUGAUUUGUGAUGCAGAGUGCAUUAACCCAAAAAUUAAGAGGAUGCUGGUUAAAAUGGCCAUGAUCUUCUAAAUUGCUCCAUGUAAUUUAUCACACAAGCCUCUGUCGCCUCUCUUAAUCCCAUUAAUGAUGCCGAAACUUCAUACUUCAAAAUUCUAAGAUAGUAAGUUUUGCUCAAUCUAGUAUAAUCUAUAUCUUUAGGAAAGUGUUGUUCGAAUUGUCUCAAAGAUCAAAAGGUCUAUAGAGGAAAAAUUAGUCGAUUCCUUUGUUUUUUACUCCGCAGAUUGCAUUGGAUGGGUACAAAGGGAGAGCUUUGGCUUUGAGACUUUGCAUUUAAGCAAAGGAGAUUUAACUCAAAGAAUGUUCAUGAUAAGCAAAUAGCGCAUAGUGAACGCCUUAUAAAAUACUUGUUGCAAAGUAUUUCAUAAAAUAAGAGAAAAGAUGCCAAAAGGAGAAUGGAGAAACUUAGAUAGAAGCCCAAGCAUGGGUCAUAACAAUAGCACCGGUGCCGGCGUCCCGUGACCCUAAGUGACGUGCUGCCAAGGUCGUGCGAGCCCACAUAUGGCAGCACGCAUGUGCCCACAUAAUGCGCUGGUGCUGCACUAUUCUAGGCGACACGAUGCCAAAUCCACAAGACUAGGCAACUCGACGCCCGACUCUCCGUGAGCUUCAUCUAGCAAUGAGUGACCCUUGGUGAGUUAGAUUUGGUGUCGAGCAACCCUCGGCAAAGCUUGCUGACGUCUGCCAACCAUCGGUGAAGUUGUGCAGGCAUCCUUUGACCUCCUCCGCGAAGCUUCCUAGCCACGAUUGACCAUGGCUUUCUUUCUGUCUAUCCAAGAUUUUUUUUUGGGGGGGGGGGGGGGGGGGGGUUGGGGAAAAAGAAAAACACNNNNNNNNNNNNNNNNNNNNNNNNNNNNNNNNNNNNNNNNNNNNNNNNNNNNNNNNNNNNNNNNNNNNNNNNNNNNNNNNNNNNNNNNNNNNNNNNNNNNUUGUCUUGAGCUUUGAGCAAUUUCAAAGCAAAAAUUUACACAAAAAAAUUUGAAACCGUGUUACCAAACGCCGAAACUUCGACUUAAAGACUUUUAAAGGUCCAAAGCUCCUCGUAAAUGCUCUCCCAAUGGCACUUGAUUAAUCUUGGCUCAGUCAGAGCAAAAGUGUAAUUUUAUGAGUGCCCACCCUAUCGGCUCAGUACUUGGGCCUCCUAUGUCGGCCCCUCCCCAACAAAUCACCACCGUCGAUCAUGCCCUGGCCGUCUCAUCAUGUACUUUCAUCCCCACCCAUCGACUCAUCUCUCUGUCCGGCCCCAUUGCAUCUCCCCAUCCCUGGGCCCCACUACAAAACCUAUCCAAAAAAGAAAAGUUAGCUCUUAAAUUAUAUGAAAAUCUCCAUUUUUUUUAUUUAUUUUUGCCACUACAAAACAAUUGAAAUAAAGCAGACCCAAUAAAUCACGCAUUCCCAAGAUCACGAGCGUGCCAUAUUGCAUAGAAUAGUACCAAUAUUAUAGCACAAAAUACUAGAGUUUAAAUUAAGUGAAAAUCUAAUCUAAGCACAUACAAUGUAAAUGACACAAUCCAAAAAUGCUCGGGAUAUUAUUGUGUAUGAAGAUCCAAUGACUUGUAUAGAUUUUAACAUCCAAAUUCCAAUAGGACCAUGUUGUGGCAUAUGUUUUCAUUAGUUGAUUUAUUCACCUAGGAGUAGGGACCCAAAAGAAAAAGGAUUUAGGUACAUUUGUUGUAAUUAUAUGAGGUUUCUUAAUCGUAAAAAAAAAAAAAAAUCCUAAAUUACCAAUUAGUAUCCCUUUGCAAUUGUAGCUCCAAAUAUUUUUCUCCUCUUUCCUUUUCCUUUUAGUGGAUUUUUUAUGGCUUUGUAUUGCGGUGUGACUUAUUAAGGUGGUGAUUUAUUACAGAAGAAUGAGUCAUUUCAUUCAUCGUUUAUAAAAUAAAUUCCCAUUGAGUUAUCCACCUUACCAAGAUUAGACUUCAUACCAAGAUUAGACUUCAGGAACUCAACCCCCAACUCUUCUCUCGAUGAUGCGAUAGUUACUUACUAGUGGAAUGGAGGUUAGGAGAUCACUCAACAAAUUGUGAGCCAUUGAUUUCAACAUUCGGAUGAAAAAUGGCAAAUAGAUAAAGAAAAAGAUAAAAUAAUUUCCUUUUUCAUAUCACUUUCAAAUCAGUACUUAACUUUUAUUUGAGGAAACCAUAUAAGAAAAUAACAACAACUGCUGAAAAUCUAUGCGAGAAUUAAUUGUAAUUAGGUAACGUGGCAAAAAAAAAAAGUCCAUCUAUUACUUAAAUUUCUAUAUACUCGUCAAUUUAAUAAAAGAAAAAUGUCGAAGUUAGAGUAGUCUUGAUUUCGAAUCUUGCAUAAAUGACAGCCACAUCGAUGACUUCUAGCAUUCUCAAUUAUGAUCGGGAUGGACCAGAAUUUGUUCUAGACAAUGAAGGAAAAAGGCAUUGCCAUAUUUUCACUUUGGGUUUUGCCACUAGCUCGCUUACCGUUUAGGUUUUAGUAUAUAACCCUCUUAGUUUGAUUUUUUUUUUUCAUUGGUAAUAAUCGAAUUUUUUCAUUAGAUUUGACAAGCUCAAUUCUCAAAAUUUUGUUCUAAAAUCGACCUUUGACAAGUGCAAGCAAAUUAUCACAAUGAUUCGACAAUGGGAGAUGGAUGAUACCUACUGGAAAUGAGCGGAUGCGAGGAUAAAUUGGCCAUAGCUUGAAAGAGAGCAAGACUCUUAGAAUACUUAAAUAAUAAACCAAGUUUUCAUCUAACAGCUUAAAUUUUUAUUUUUUGAACAAUUAACAAUGGUUCCACCAAAAUCUCAUAUGACAUUAGAGCAAGAGAUCUUGAAUUUAAAUCUUUCAAGCCCCUAUUUGCUUCUCCAAUUACAUAUUUUCAUGCCUAGGCUUAGGUUAAAGACCAACCUAUGCAUAAGAGAGAGUCUUAGGAUAUUUAAAUAAUAAAUCACAUUUUUAUUUAACAGUAAUAUCUCAAAAGAUCAAGUGUUGUUAGGAUUAUCCUAAUGUUAUCAUUUUCUUUUGCCUUAAAGAUAUUUUUAUAUUCUUUUUUAUUUCGUGCUAAGUAAUAUAAUGGUCAAAGUUCAUGUGUACUUGACUUUUCUUUUUUCCUUUCUUAUCCGAUUAGUGUUUAUUACUCUAUCACUAUACUAAAUACAACUACUGUAUCGAACAUAUUUCAAGUAAUUGAUUUCUCUUACAAAUACAUUUCAAACUAUUUACUUCAAGUAAUUUUGCAAUGUUUUAUACCAAACAAAGUAAAAUUUUCCUUUGAUCAGAACCAAACAAAGUUUACUUAUUAUGCUAAAAUAUCUUCUUAUCUAUAGUGUUUGCACGGGUCUCCUAUAUAUAUAUAGUCUUUCUCUAUCUAAUAGAUUAAAUUUUUUGUAUGGACAUACGUAUAUGAUAUCAGAGCUAAUUUAAAUCCAGUUUGUUUCAUAUAUGUAUCUCUCCAUAGUCCCUAGUUUUAAAAUAAGUUUUGCACACUAAAAGAGAUAUUAUAGUGGCCAACAAAAGAAAAUCAUAAUUAAGUUACUCCUUCAACAAGUGCAUGAUUACGGAAUGCCAUGUGUGACAAAAGUAACUUUAACCCUGCUAUGGUACUCAGAUGACAAAAUAAUAAUAAUAAUAAUAAUAAUAAUAAUAAUAAUAAUAAUAAUAAUAAUAAUAAUAAAUCAAAACACAUGAUGUUGAUUCAGUUUUUGUAAGUCUAAAGUCCAAGCCUAGGUCGAAGUAUGCAAGGGAUGACGAGGUUCAUUUUUUUUUUUAAACUAUAGCGAUCUUUACAAUCAAAAUGAAAUAAAAUGUAAUUUUUAAUCUUCAAGGAGUUGAUUGAGUAUGUGAGAGAUUUAUUUAUAAGACAAAUCCUGUAUUUAGUUGCAUACUCGCCAAUAAGAAUAAAAGGGGUCAUGCUCAUGAUCGGCUCAUUGAUGGAGUCUUAUUGCAUGUGAUUGAGACAAUUAUAGGGUUUUAGUCAAGUAAAGAUUCGCAUCCGUUGUUACAAUUUAUUUUUACUAUAUACCUAAUUUUAUUUAUUACAAGAAUUCCUCUAUAAGUAUGCCGAUUUCAAUUGAAACUUAUCAAUUUGUUGGUUUAUGGGGAAAUUCUUUAAGCUAAAAAGGGGUAAAACAAUAUCUGAUGGACUAGCUAGAUGUAUACGGAAUACAGAAGUGCGGUGAACAAAUGGGUUAAAGGAGAGCACCUAAAAACAAGAAGCUGCCUUACAAACCCAAUAGGAUUGUCCAACCUCACUAAACAUUCGGAAUGUGUAAAACCGUAUCGAAUCUGCACUUUAUAUCACCAUAACUCGUAAUACCAUAAAUCAAUUUUACUGAUGUAUCAUAAUAGUAUUGUACUUUUAAUUACAAUGUGAUGUUGUAAUAUUAUACUAUACAUUUGAAGUAGUACAUAAAUGACUCUAAUUUACGAGUUUGUUAUUGAAUAAGAAUGAUACGUUGAAAAAUAACGAAUUUUUUUUAUUUUUAUGUCAAUUGGAAGGAAAAAAAAGGAGAGUUUUUCAAUUUGCGGCACAGAUCAGCUUAUGGGAACCAAAAUCGAGUUUAUGUAAAACUUAAACAUGAGUGAUCAAUAAAAAAAAAAAAACGAAAAACGAAAAAAAACAUGAAUGUGCCAUACAAUUCGGCCUCUUCGGUCGGCCCUUCCCUAAACAAAUCACCGCCGUCGAUCAUAUCCAACGACCCACCUCUAUCUCUGGGCCCCACUGCAUAGUGCAUAUCCCCAUUCCAUUCCGUUUCUUUAUAAAUAGAUAAAAAAAAAACGGAUAUGAGUGUAAAUAAAAAUAAAUUUUAUUAAGAGGUAUCCAAAAGACACUGAUUAAGAAUAAUAAAAUAAUAAAAACACAUAUAAACGCAUUGUAAAGAAUUAAGCAAGAACAAAUUUCGAAUGAGAGCAAUUUAUUUUAAUUUAAUUUAAUAUAUAUAUAUAUAUAUAUAUAUAUUUUUUUUUUUUUUCUUCUUCUCCUCUUGAAGAGUUUUCAAUCCCAUUUCAAUUGGCAAGUGAAAAUGCCAUGUGAUUUCCUCUAAGAAUAUUUUAUAAAGUGAAGUUCAUACUAGGAUUGCAUUUAUAUUCUUCAUUGACUUGCGCUAAAGUUUAAUCUCUCUCACUUUCCAUCUCAUUAGCGACCCUUCGUUUCAAGUGCCUAAAGUCAUGCGCAAAGUUCAAUGAAGCAGAAAUGAUAUUGCCAGUCACUUUCUGAACUCAAGAAAUUGCCCAGAACCGGUGAACACGAUCAUUUUCGAAUAGUGGGGGAGAGGGAACGAGGAAAGUUCCGAAAGGGAAAUAGGAGAAAGAAACUUGGGCUACGGGCAAAUGGCGCACGAUCAUUUUCGGAUGGAGUCUCUGACUGUACCUGAUGGUGAUACUGCGCGCGGGGCUCCUAAACCCAAAAGGAUACCCCUGGUAGUGGCGGGGAUCUGAUCUAGGUAUAACUUUCUUUGAUCUUUGUUCCAUUGCGUAAGCCAUAAUCCACAAACAAAGUGAUAUAUAGACGAGAGCUGGAGCCUGGAAACCCCAUCAGAUAGUAAACAUUCUUGAAGCCCAUCAUUCAUCGGCUCUUCUCAUGGCUGCUUCUUCGAAUCAGAAAAGGUGUUAGCAUGCUCCUGAGUUGCAGAGGCAAGAGCAUCCGCAACAACUUCCUUGGUCAUCUCUCUACUAGAAAUUUGAAAAUGUUUGCUCCUUUGAUCAGAAAUCAAAAUCACUAUGAAAUAUAGAUUUCGCAUCAUGCUACCGACAUGGCUGAGGAACUUCUUCUUUUUCCUCUCUUUAUUUAUGAUUUGUGAUGCUGAGUAUUUUAAUUCAAAAUUAAUUGGAUGCUUGCUGAAUGGCCAUGGUCUUCCGAGUUGCUUUGUGUAAUUUAUCAUAUGGACAUCUGUCACCUCUUAUAAUCUAAUUGAUGAUGCUAGCACUUCAUACUCUAAAAUUUUGAGAUAGUAAGUUUGGCUCAAUCUAAUAUAAUCCAUCUAUUUGGGAAAGCAUUGAUCUAAUUGUCUCACAGAUCAAAAGGUCUAUACAGGGAAGAUUAGUUGGCUCCUCUGUUGUCGCUAGGCAGAUUGCAUUGUAUAGGUACUAAGGGAGAGCUUUAGCUUCAAGAUUUUGCAUUUAAGCAAAGGACAUUGACUCAAAGGAAUUAAUUUUAAAGUAAAUAGUGUUUAAUACCUUGUUAAAAUACUUACUGCAGAGCAUUUUUUUCAAAUAAGCAAGAAGAAGAGAAUGGAUGAACUUGCAGUUACAUAUGAAAACUCAAGCGGAGGCCACAAAACUAGACCAGUGCCAACGUGAUCCCAUUGCGCUGCCGUGGUCCCAUGCGAUGCGCAAUGCCAUGGCCACACAAUUAGGUAAUGCAAUGCUUGACCCUCAACAAACUAGAUCUGGUGUCAGGUGACCCUAGGCAAGUAGAAUCUGGUGUCGAGCGACCAUUUCGAUAAAGCUUGCUAAUGUCCCCCAACCCUCAUCAAGCUUGCCGAUGUCCCCCAACCUUCUCCAAAAAGCAUCCCAGCCAUGAGUGACCACGACUCUUCUAUCUCCAUCCAAGAUUGGGUUGGGGGUAGGGGUGUCAAGUAGAAUCUGGUGUCGAGCGACCAUUGCGCUGCCGUGGUCCCAUGCGAUGCACAAUGCCAUGGCCACACAAUUAGGUAAUGCAAUGCUUGACCCUCAACAAACUAGAUCUGGUGUCAGGUGACCCUAGGCAAGUAGAAUCUGGUGUUGAGCGACCAUUUCGAUAAAGCUUGCUAAUGUCCCCCAACCCUCGUCAAGCUUGCCGAUGUCCCCCAACCUUCUCCAAAAAGCAUCCCAGCCAUGAGCGACCACGACUCUUCUAUCUCCAUCCAAGAUUGGGUUGGGGGUAGGGGUGUCAAAAAACAAACCGAAAACCGAACCGAACCGAACUGAAAAUUUUAGUUUUUUUUAAAGUUUUUUUUAGUUUUUUUUUUCGGUUCGAUUCUCAUUAAAAAUCGAAAAUUUUUAACCAGUUCAGUUUUUAUCGGUUUGGUUAACCAAACCAAAUCGAUAAAAUCUAACGUUUUUCUUUUUUUUUUUUAAAUCAUUUUAAAAAUUUUUUGAUUUUUUUUCUUUUCCUUCCUCUUCUUAUUCAUUGGCCGGCCAGUGACCAGCCAAUGAAGAAGAAGAAGAAGAAAGAGAAAGAAAAAAAGAUAUUAAAGAAAAGGAAAAUAACAUUAAAAUUAAAAAAAUUAAAAAAUCGAUUUAAAAAAUAAAAAAAAUUAUAGAAAGGGGGUGUAUGUAGGGAGAAAUACAAACAUAAAAGUAAAAACCGAAAAAUCAAACCAAAUCGAACCGAACAAGGAUUUCGGUUCGGUUCGAUUUCAGUUCAAAAUGGAUUUCGGUUCAGUUUAAUAAAUUCUUUAUUGGUUCGAUUCGGUUUGAUUUUUAAAAAAUACCAAACUGAACCGGACCAUUUACACCCCUAGGGGGGUGCUGUUGGAAAAAAAAAAUAUUAACAUGCAUGCCAAAGAUGUUAAACCCCCGAGCUCUCCCUCGCCUUGAGCUUUGACCAUUUUGCACCAAAAUAUUUGAAGUCGUGUUCCAAAAUGCCAGAACUUUGGCUCUAAGGGCUUUCGGAAAUUCAAAGCUGCUCGUCUCCCAUAUGCAGCUUGAGCGUCCUGGCUCGUUAGGGGCAGAAGUGUAAUUUCACGAGUGCCAACUCAGUCGGCUCAUAAUUUGGGCCUCUUGACUCGGCCCCUCCCCCCAACAGAUAACACCUAAAAUUUCCUUCUGAAACCGAUCUUGGUGUCCGACGUCUUCCCGACUUUCUGAACCUUUUAACCCUGAGAGCAAAAAUAGAAAUCUCGUUUUCUAGUUAUUUUCUCUCUUUCUAAAAUUUUGAAUUUUAGCUUAUUUCACUUUAAAAUUUACUAUCAACUUAAAAUGCUCUAUGAAUUGGUACUUUUUUAAGGCGAUCGAUAUUCACCGCUACAACCAUUUAAUAACAGGAUUAAUCAAUCUUUUUUUUUUUCAAUUUUUUUGUCAAGUUUAAACCCUUUUUUUAUAUAUAUAAUUUAAGAAUUAGGAGGUAAGAACAUAGUGACUCAUGGUUCAACAGUUUACAUUAACCUCAAGAAAAAAAAAAUUAAACGUAGUUAUAAUUACUCUAAAUAUUAUUCUAUCAAAGAAAGAGUCAAUAAAUAACCUUCAUACUAUAUAAGGAGUUGGCCGAUAUUGAUAAACAGUUAGGAGGACUAAAUAUUCAUUACCCUUAUUAAAAGGUUUACUUGUUUUCUUCUCUCAGAAUCAUACAAGUGUGAAAUACUAUGUUUACUUCAUUUAUACAAUAAAGAAUCCCUUAUACUGUGCACGCAAUUCAGGCUUUAUAUUUUAAUUUUUUAUUGUAUAAUUGAUGUACACAAAAUAAAAACACGUCUUUGUCUUUCUUCCUAUUUGGUAAAAAAAAAUCUUUCACAAAAUAGAAUUUAUUGUAAAUUAUUAAUGUCUCUUUAAAAAUAUAUAUAUCAAAUUGUUUACUCCAAGUAAUUUUACAAUGUUUUAUACCAAACAAUGUAACUUUGCUAUCAAAAUAUCUUCUCAUCUAUAGGGUUUGCGAGGGUCUUCUAUAUAUGUAGUCUUUCUUCAUCUAAUAGCUUAAAUUUCUAGGUUGGACUAUUCAAUAUGAAAUCAAAGCCAAGUUCGAAGCCAGUUUUUUUGUAUAUGUGGCUCUCCAUACAUCAAUUUCACCUAUCAUUUUUUAAAUAUCGGUUUUGCACGCUAAAAGAGAUAUUAUAAUAUUAUACAUUGCUUGUCUACAGAAUUUAUACUUACCUUAUUAUCUCUUCACUUAUUAUCUCUUCACGAAUAGUGGCCAACAAAAAAAAAAUCAUAAUUAAGUGACUCCUACAAGUGCACGAUUCCGGAAUGCCGCAUGUGAAAAAAGUAACUUUAACCUGCUAUGAACUGAGAUGACAAAAACCAAUCAAAACAAGUAAUGUUGAUUAAGCUUUUUUAAGUCUAAAGUCCAAGUAUGCAAGGACUGACCUGGUUCAUUUUUAUUUUUUUUUAACAUAGUGAUCAGGAUAAUAUUUUUUACUUACUUAUAGUAGAUAGAAAUAAAAUCUAAUUUUAAUUCUCCAAAAAGUUGACUGAGAUAGUGAGAGAUUGAUUCAUAUGACAAAUCCUAUAUCUAGUUACAUACUCACCAUUUAGAAUUAACUCUAAGGAUGCACGCCCAUGAUUGGUCCAUUGGCAAUCAUGGGCGUGCAUAUCCCAAGCUUAUGGGGGUUCAUGUCCCAAGGUUAAAUAACAAGACAUUAUAUAUUCUUUCUCCGACUUAACACCGUGUUUAGCUUAUGGGGAUUCAUGUCCCAAGACUUAAUAACGAUGCCAUGUUUAUUUUUUGCUCGACUUGUAUCGAGUUUUUCAUCUCCCACACCUUUUCUUGGAUGCUUUUGAUGCUUGCUUGUUUACUUUAAAAAGCCAUUUCAAUGGCCUAUAUGUUAAUUUCCUUUCCAGAAGCCUGAGACUAGAACACUUUUUUAGGUGUCAACUAAAACUCAGAUGUCAAUACUAAUGUAGACAAUUUUAAAUUUUAAAUUUUAUUUUUAUUUUCUUCACAGGGCCAACGAGACUAUCGACCCCCUCGCUAGGUAUGGGAGAGGGUUCGUUGUUUCAUAGAAAUAAUGUUUACAAUAUAUCAAAAUCGAGAUUAGGUAAAACUUAAACAUGAAUGUGCCAUAUGAUAUCAAACUUCAACUCAUUAGUACUCGGCUCAAUAGUUUUACAAGUCCAAUUGAGUUAUUCUUUUUGUAAAUUAUUUAUAUGAAAUUUCGAGCUUUGAUCCAUUUAUAUUUCAACAUAAUAAAAUUGAAUCUAGGUGCAACUUUUAAAUACUUCAAUUUUCUUUUCCAGUUGAGUUCAAGCACGAAAUUCGAUACUCGAUCCAGCUGAGCUCGAUUGAAGUUUUGAGCAAUCAAACAUGUGAGUCGAGCUUGCAUCAGCUCGUCUCGAUGUGAUUAUCCUUAGACUAGGCCUAGGACGCUAGCGCUUAGACUUGAUACCUCAAGGGUGGAUUUGCGCGUCCUUGCGCGCGGGCUGGACCCGAGACCUCACAGCCGGAUUUAUAAACCCAAGUGGCAGCUUCCGUCUUCUGAGUCCUUGGCCGAUUCUUCAUCGCUCCUUCCUCGUCAAGCAGCAUAUUGAUCUGAAAUCGAAAACUGAAAACGUGUUCACCAACCAAAUGGCCCUGAGAGCGCUUGUUUCUUUGAAGCGAGCGAGAGCCAGAGCCAGGGCAUAGGGAAGAGAUCGUCGACUUCACUGCCGAUCGGGGAAGGGCAACCCCGGGUCAGAGGCCGCCCAGCAUCUCCGAGAGCAAAGCCCACUCUGCUUCAGCUUUAAGCCCUUGAUUUUCUUAGCAACACACUGUCUCUCUGUUCCGAAACUUGGCAUUCUAGAGAAGCACAUAUACCAUCAGCUCUUCUUCGAAUAUGAAAAGGAAUUACCACGUGUUCCUCAGUUUCAGAGGGACAGAUGUCCGCCACGGCUUCCUCAGCCAUCUCUACGCGGCUCUGGACCAGCAAGGAAUAUACACUUUUGUGGAUAGUGAGGAGCUUAGGAAAGGAGAGGAAAUAUCGCCGGCGCUCAUGAGGGCGAUUGAGGAAUCGCAUGUUGCGAUCAUCGUUUUCUCUGAGAACUAUCAUCGUUUCUCUGAGAACUACGCUUCCUCACGGUGGUGUUUGGAAGAGCUCUUGAAAAUCAUGGAGUGCAGGGAGCAAAACGGCCUGAAGGUGUUCCCAGUGUUUUACAAAGUGGAACCCAGAGAAGUAAGAGGAGGGAGAGAGAGUUAUAAGAGAGCUAUGGAUAACCAUCAGUCCAAGUUCGGGAAGGAUUCAGAGAAAGUGAAGAGAUGGAAGAAGGUUCUCUCUGAAGCUGGUAGCUUGUCUGGGUGGGAGUUGAAUGAUAGGUACGCGCAAAUGUGAUGUGGUGUUUUGUGAUUGUUAGCUUGUGAUUGUUUGUUAGAUAUCAGAUCGUAUGCUCUUUUUUGGAUCUUCGAAUCGAAGAUACAUAAUCAAAUAACCAAAGCUCGUAGAUUCUUUGUAUUGAUUCUUGCUGUGUGGAUAAUGAGAAAUUUCUCAAACAUAUAGUGUGAUUCAUAGUGCCUUAGUCAUUAUUGUCUUCAGAUUCAGGUUCUUUGUAAUGUUCCUCGUGUAGAUGUUGGCGCAGGUUCACCCACCUUUCAUCUUAUUAUUUGCCGAUCUUCUUAUGAAAUUUUCCUUAUCACGUUAGAGGUUGAAUUCUUGCUAUGGCUUUGAAAUGCUAAAACGGGUUUUUCUUUCUUUUGAGUGCUUAUCAGAGAUGAAGCGGAUCUCAUACAAUGCAUAGUAAAGGAAUUAUCGAUUCGUCUCAACCGAACACCAUUACAUGUCGCUAAGUAUCCGGUUGGAAUAGAUUCUCAAGUUCAAGAACUGAUAUGGUUUUCACAGAAAGAGUCGGCUGAUGAUGAUGUUCUAAUGAUAGGUCUAUGGGGACCUGGAGGCAUAGGGAAGACAGCAAUUGCCAAGGCCCUAUAUAAUGCUAUGAUGAGACAAUUUCAGGUUUGUAGUUUUUUGGAGCUAGUUAGAGAAAAAUCACACCGAAGCGAUGGUCUUGUUACUUUACAAAAGGAUCUUCUAUCUGAGAUCCUGGUUCAUCCUUUAACGGUCUACAAUGUCGCUGGAGGAAUUAGGUUGAUACAAGAAAGACUAUGUUGCAAGAAGGUUCUCCUGGUUCUUGAUGAUGUUGACCAUAUGAAUCAACUGAAUGCAUUAGCUGGAAAAGGCAAUUGGUUUGGAAAAGGAAGUAUAAUCAUUGUUACAACAAGAAAUAAACAAUUGCUAACUUCUCAUGGCAUAAAUCGUGUGCAUAGAAUUCAAACUUUAGGAUAUUGUGAAGCACGAGACCUUUUUUGUCUGCAUGCUUUCCCAGAUAGCAAGAGUGUUGAAAUAAGAAUGGAUCUCAUAAAUAGAGCACUGCAUUAUUGUGACGGCCUUCCGUUAGCCCUCGAAGUCUUGGGCUCAUUCUUAUGUGGAAGAAACGAAGCUGCAUGGGAAAGUGCAUUGCGUAGGCUCUCCAAAAGUCCUGACCAAACUAUUAAUCAAGUUCUCAAGACAAGCUUUGAUGGAUUGGACAAUGACGAGAGGGAGAUUUUCCUCGAUAUUGCUUGUUUCUUUAAGGGAAAGAGAAUAGAAUACAUCCAUGAAGUUCUUGACGGCUGUGAUUUCGAGACAACCAUAGGAAUAGAAAUUCUCAUCGAGAGGUCCUUGAUAAAAAAUGAGAGGGGUCACUUGCAAAUGCAUGAUUUGGUUCAGUUGAUGGGUAAGGAUAUUGUUAAUGAGGAAUGGCCCGAUGAUCCUGGGAAACGCAGCAGAUUAUGGCUUUUCGAAGAUGUUGAGGAAGUUCUCUAUGAAGAUACGGUAAAAGUUGUUCAUGUCCAUUUUGCAACAUCUCAGUUUUUUACUUUGCUCUGAUUUGGAUUGUAAUAUGUAAAUUUCAAUUGAAAAUUUUGUCUGACGAUUGAAUUUGCUCUGUUAUGGAUAGGUAAUGGAUGCAGUAAAGGCCAUAGUAUUGAACUUGCCCACACCAAAAGAGAUGACCAUUAGUCCUUGUGCUUUCAAAAAAAUGAAAAGGUUGAGAAUGCUCAUCUUGCACAAAGUGCAUAUCUCUUCACAAGGUCCUGUACGCCUCCCUAAUGCGCUAAGAUGGCUUGAAUGGCCCAAUGCCCUGCAUCUAGAAUUUGGCCCUGGUCCAAAGAAACUGGCGAGACUCCGUUUUCAAAACAGUCAUAUCAAACAAUUAGUAGGCAACUGUCAAGUAAGCCCUUAUGAUGAUCAGCUUUCCCUUUUCAAAGUUAUGAAAAUAUUUCAGAGCUUAAUGACUGCACCAGUAUGUUUUUGCAGAAUUUUAUAUGUUUGAAGUCCAUCGAGUUCCGGGAUUGCAAGUCCCUGGCUAGUAUUCCUGACAUUUCAUCGGCUCCACUUCUGGAGAGCUUAGAUCUUUUCAGUUGCAAAAGCUUGGUAGAGGUUCACCAAUCCGUUGGAGAUCUUGACAAGUUGAAACCUUUGAAUAUAUCAAGUUGCUCCAAUCUUCAGAUCUUUCCAAACACACUCAAGACAACGUCUCUUCAAUGGCUUGAUUUCUCUGGUUGCUCUAAACUUGAGAAAUGCCCUGAUAUUCUGGAAAAGAUGGAACACCUAAUAUAUUUUUUUCUAAAAGGGACGGCUAUUAAAGAAGUCCCGGCAUCAAUUGAAAAUCUUGUCUCUAUAGAGCAGAUAGAUUUAGGUUGUUGCGAUAACCUCACAAGGCUUCCAUCGAGCAUUCAUAAGUUGAAAAAUCUCAAGUCUCUGGUAGUUAGCUACUGCUCAAAUUUUGUCAUGUUUCCAAAGAACUUGGAGGAUUCAAUUGAUCCUGAUGACGAUUUGGGCUUCCCAAGUUUAAGGUGGCUAGACCUCUCUCACUGCAAUCUAUCAAAAGCAGAGUUUCUUGAGAAUGCUUCCAGUUGUCCUAUAUUGACGGGCCUAAAUCUUACAAAUAACAAAUUUAUUCAUCUUCCUACAUGCAUCAACAAGUAUGAUUAUUGGAAAGACUUGUUUGUUUAUAGCUGCAAGCAAAGCAAAGGGGUCAGUGUGGCUGAUGCGUCAUCACCCAAGGUCUCUCUCUCUCUCUCUCUCAUUUUGAAUGUUUGAUACGUGUACUAUCUGUAUGACAGGAAGUUGAGAUUCUUGUAAAUGGAAAAGAGAUGCCUGAAUGGAUUCUGCAUUGUAAAGAGUACACCAUAUCUUUCAUGGUUCCCCCAGACUUAUGUGACAAGAUCUUGGGACUAGCAAUCUGUGUUAUUCUUCGCCAGAAUAAGAAAGGCUCGUUCGACGAUUCGUCCUGUUCAUUUGACAUCAGCUUGUUUGUAAAUGGCAUAAGAUCGUAUUACCGUUUGAUAUUUUUUGAUCCAUUGGAAUCCGAUCAUGUGAAUCUUGUUUAUUUCCCAAGCAACAGAAAGAUAGAAGAGAAGCCUCUGCAAAACGAUUGGAGCCAUAUCCAAGUUUGUGUCAGGGCACUGGAAGGAACCAUAAAGAAGCGUGGAUUCCGUCUAAUAUGCGAGCAACAGGAGGAUGAUCUGAGGGUCUGCUUUCCAACACCAUCGGCGGAUGGAAACAGAUUGGAGUUUCAAGGAAGGAUACUCGAAGGAAGACAAUUAUCAAAAGACACCGAGGAAGAAAAUAGUCCACUGGAACAGAACUCAACAAAGAAGAUGAGACGGUCUUAGCAAUGGCGAGAGUAUGGGUUGAACUCGCACCACCUAUUGAGGUAGCGAUUCUUGGGGAUGCGAACCGGUGAUCUUGAUUUCAAUGCCUCUUGCUUUUCCCUUUUUUUUCUCGUCUCUACUAAAAAUUUGCAAUUGUUUGCUCCUUCAAUUAGUCGCAUAGUGCUACUGACAUGGUUGAGGAACUUUUCAUUUCCCUCUCGAUCUCUAUGAUCUGUGAUGCAAGAGUGCACCAAUCCAAUAUCAAGUGGAAUGCUUGCUGAAUGGCCAUUGUCUUCUAAAUUCAGUGAGAUAUAUCUCAUAGAACUCUUGUCACCUUUCUUAAUCCAAUUAAUGAUG